Molecule: transfer RNA, 89 nt
Filed under: Hypericibacter adhaerens
Lineage: Bacteria; Pseudomonadati; Pseudomonadota; Alphaproteobacteria; Rhodospirillales; Dongiaceae
Description: tRNA-Leu
Rfam family: tRNA
About the family: Transfer RNA (tRNA) molecules are approximately 80 nucleotides in length. Their secondary structure includes four short double-helical elements and three loops (D, anti-codon, and T loops). Further hydrogen bonds mediate the characteristic L-shaped molecular structure. tRNAs have two regions of fundamental functional importance: the anti-codon, which is responsible for specific mRNA codon recognition, and the 3' end, to which the tRNAs corresponding amino acid is attached (by aminoacyl-tRNA synthetases). tRNAs cope with the degeneracy of the genetic code in two manners: having more than one tRNA (with a specific anti-codon) for a particular amino acid; and 'wobble' base-pairing, i.e. permitting non-standard base-pairing at the 3rd anti-codon position.
Source: RNAcentral
GCCCGCUUGGCGAAACUGGUAGACGCAAGGGACUUAAAAUCCCUAAGCCCGCGAGGGCUGUGCCGGUUCGAGUCCGGCAGCGGGCACCA